GAUUGAACGCUGGCGGCAUGCCUUACACAUGCAAGUCGAACGGCAGCACGGGUGCUUGCACCUGGUGGCGAGUGGCGAACGGGUGAGUAAUACAUCGGAACAUGUCCUGUAGUGGGGGAUAGCCCGGCGAAAGCCGGAUUAAUACCGCAUACGAUCUACGGAUGAAAGCGGGGGACCUUCGGGCCUCGCGCUAUAGGGUUGGCCGAUGGCUGAUUAGCUAGUUGGUGGGGUAAAGGCCUACCAAGGCGACGAUCAGUAGCUGGUCUGAGAGGACGACCAGCCACACUGGGACUGAGACACGGCCCAGACUCCUACGGGAGGCAGCAGUGGGGAAUUUUGGACAAUGGGCGAAAGCCUGAUCCAGCAAUGCCGCGUGUGUGAAGAAGGCCUUCGGGUUGUAAAGCACUUUUGUCCGGAAAGAAAUCCUUGGCUCUAAUACAGUCGGGGGAUGACGGUACCGGAAGAAUAAGCACCGGCUAACUACGUGCCAGCAGCCGCGGUAAUACGUAGGGUGCGAGCGUUAAUCGGAAUUACUGGGCGUAAAGCGUGCGCAGGCGGUUUGCUAAGACCGAUGUGAAAUCCCCGGGCUCAACCUGGGAACUGCAUUGGUGACUGGCAGGCUAGAGUAUGGCAGAGGGGGGUAGAAUUCCACGUGUAGCAGUGAAAUGCGUAGAGAUGUGGAGGAAUACCGAUGGCGAAGGCAGCCCCCUGGGCCAAUACUGACGCUCAUGCACGAAAGCGCGGGGAGCAAACAGGAUUAGAUACCCUGGUAGUCCACGCCCUAAACGAUGUCAACUAGUUGUUGGGGAUUCAUUUCCUUAGUAACGUAGCUAACGCGUGAAGUUGACCGCCUGGGGAGUACGGUCGCAAGAUUAAAACUCAAAGGAAUUGACGGGGACCCGCACAAGCGGUGGAUGAUGUGGAUUAAUUCGAUGCAACGCGAAAAACCUUACCUACCCUUGACAUGGUCGGAAUCCCGCUGAGAGGUGGGAGUGCUCGAAAGAGAACCGGCGCACAGGUGCUGCAUGGCUGUCGUCAGCUCGUGUCGUGAGAUGUUGGGUUAAGUCCCGCAACGAGCGCAACCCUUGUCCUUAGUUGCUACGCAAGAGCACUCUAAGGAGACUGCCGGUGACAAACCGGAGGAAGGUGGGGAUGACGUCAAGUCCUCAUGGCCCUUAUGGGUAGGGCUUCACACGUCAUACAAUGGUCGGAACAGAGGGUUGCCAACCCGCGAGGGGGAGCUAAUCCCAGAAAACCGAUCGUAGUCCGGAUUGCACUCUGCAACUCGAGUGCAUGAAGCUGGAAUCGCUAGUAAUCGCGGAUCAGCAUGCCGCGGUGAAUACGUUCCCGGGUCUUGUACACACCGC
This 1367-nucleotide ribosomal RNA is filed under the name uncultured beta proteobacterium. RNAcentral's name for it is "bacterial SSU rRNA". It matches the Rfam family "Bacterial small subunit ribosomal RNA", at positions 27 to 1393 of the family's 1533-position model. Lineage: Bacteria; Pseudomonadati; Pseudomonadota; Betaproteobacteria. The record is from RNAcentral.